CCUACGGGAGGCAGCAGUCGGGAAUAUUGCGCAAUGGAGGAAACUCUGACGCAGUGACGCCGCGUGCAGGAAGAAGGUUUUCGGAUUGUAAACUGCUUUAGACAGGGAAGAAAAAGGACAGUACCUGUAGAAUAAGCUCCGGCUAACUACGUGCCAGCAGCCGCGGUAAUACGUAGGUGGCAAGCGUUAUCCGGAUUUACUGGGUGUAAAGGGCGUGUAGGCGGGACUGCAAGUCAGAUGUGAAAAUUAUGGGCUCAACCCAUAACCUGCAUUUGAAACUGUAGUUCUUGAGUGAUG
This 297-nucleotide ribosomal RNA is filed under the name uncultured bacterium. RNAcentral's name for it is "partial 16S ribosomal RNA". It matches the Rfam family "Bacterial small subunit ribosomal RNA", at positions 338 to 651 of the family's 1533-position model. The record is from RNAcentral.